UGGGGAAUAUUGCACAAUGGGCGCAAGCCUGAUGCAGCCAUGCCGCGUGUAUGAAGAAGGCCUUCGGGUUGUAAAGUACUUUCAGCGGGGAGGAAGGCGAUAAGGUUAAUAACCUUGUCGAUUGACGUUACCCGCAGAAGAAGCACCGGCUAACUCCGUGCCAGCAGCCGCGGUAAUACGGAGGGUGCAAGCGUUAAUCGGAAUUACAGGGCGUAAAGCGCACGCAGGCGGUCUGUCAAGUCGGAUGUGAAAUCCCCGGGCUCAACCUGGGAACUGCAUUCGAAACUGGCAGGCUAGAGUCUUGUAGAGGGUGGUAGAAUUCCAGGUGUAGCGGUGAAAUGCGUAGAGAUCUGGAGGAAUACCGGUGGCGAAGGCGGCCCCCUGGACAAAGACUGACGCUCAGGUGCGAAAGCGUGGGGAGCAAACA
This 427-nucleotide ribosomal RNA is filed under the name uncultured bacterium. RNAcentral's name for it is "partial 16S ribosomal RNA". It matches the Rfam family "Bacterial small subunit ribosomal RNA", at positions 355 to 774 of the family's 1533-position model. The record is from RNAcentral.